GACGAACCGUGCGACCGUUAUUCGGAAUCACUGGGCUUAAAGCGCGUGUAGGCGGGUCGGCGCGUCGGCCGCUGAAAUCCCCCGGCUCAACCGGGGAAGCGGCGCCGAUACGGCCGGCCUGGAGGGACGUAGGGGGGGCUGGAACUUCCGGUGGAGCGGUGAAAUGCGUUGAGAUCGGAAGGAACGCCCGUGGCGAAAGCGAGCCCCUGGACGUCUACUGACGCUGAGACGCGAAAGCCAGGGGAGCGAACGGG
This 254-nucleotide ribosomal RNA is filed under the name uncultured bacterium. RNAcentral's name for it is "partial 16S ribosomal RNA". It matches the Rfam family "Bacterial small subunit ribosomal RNA", at positions 524 to 776 of the family's 1533-position model. The record is from RNAcentral.